CCUACGGGAGGCAGCAGUGAGGAAUAUUGGUCAAUGGGCGCGAGCCUGAACCAGCCAAGUCGCGUGAGGGAGGACGGCCCUACGGGUUGUAAACCUCUUUUGCCGGGGAGCAACGGGCGUCACGUGUGGCGCCACUGAGAGUACCCGGAGAAAAAGCAUCGGCUAACUCCGUGCCAGCAGCCGCGGUAAUAGGGAGGAUGCGAGCGUUAUCCGGAUUUAUUGGGUUUAAAGGGUGCGUAGGCGGAGCGUUAAGUCAGUGGUCAAAUUAAGGGGCUAAACCCGUUCCCGCCAUUGAAACUGGCGUUCUUGAGUGGAAGAGAGGUAUGCGGAAUGCGUGGUGUAGCGGUGAAAUGCAUAGAUAUCACGCAGAACCCCGAUUGCGAAGGCAGCAUGCCGGCUUCCGACUGACGCUGAAGCACGAAAGCGUGGGGAUCGAACAGGAUUAGAUACCCGAGUAGUC
RNAcentral lists this ribosomal RNA (460 nucleotides) under uncultured bacterium. RNAcentral's name for it is "partial 16S ribosomal RNA". It matches the Rfam family "Bacterial small subunit ribosomal RNA", at positions 338 to 795 of the family's 1533-position model. The record is from RNAcentral.